Molecule: ribosomal RNA, 361 nt
Filed under: uncultured bacterium
Lineage: Bacteria
Description: partial 16S ribosomal RNA
Rfam family: Bacterial small subunit ribosomal RNA
Source: RNAcentral
CCUACGGGUGGCAGCAGUGAGGAAUAUUGGUCAAUGGGCGCGAGCCUGAACCAGCCAAGUAGCGUGAAGGAUGACUGCCCUACGGGUUGUAAACUUCUUUUAUAAAGGAAUAAAGUGAGGCACGUGUGCCUUUUUGUAUGUACUUUAUGAAUAAGGAACGGCUAACUCGGUGCCAGCAGCCGCGGUAAUACGGAGGAUCCGGGCGUUAUCCGGAUUUAUUGGGUUUAAAGGGAGCGUAGGUGGGUUGUUAAGUCAGUUGUGAAAGUUUGGGGCUCAACCGGGAAAUUGCAAUUGAUACUGGCAGUCUUGAGUACAGUUGAGGUGGGGGGAAUUCGUGGUGUAGCGGUGAAAUGCGUAGAGA